GAUGAACGCUGGCGGCGUGCCUAAUACAUGCGAGUCGAGCGAACAGACGAGGAGCUUGCUCCUCUGACGUUAGCGGCGGACGGGUGAGUAACACGUGGAUAACCUACCUAUAAGACUGGGAUAACUUCGGGAAACCGGAGCUAAUACCGGAUAAUAUAUUGAACCGCAUGGUUCAAUAGUGAAAGACGGUUUUGCUGUCACUUAUAGAUGGAUCCGCGCCGCAUUAGCUCGUUGGUAAGGUAACGGCUUACCAAGGCGACGAUGCGUAGCCGACCUGAGAGGGUGAUCGGCCACCCUGGAACUGAGACACGGUCCAGACUCCUACGGGAGGCAGCAGUAGGGAAUCUUCCGCAAUGGGCGAAAGCCUGACGGAGCAACGCCGCGUGAGUGAUGAAGGUCUUCGGAUCGUAAAACUCUGUUAUUAGGGAAGAACAAAUGUGUAAGUAACUAUGCACGUCUUGACGGUACCUAAUCAGAAAGCCACGGCUAACUACGUG
RNAcentral lists this ribosomal RNA (497 nucleotides) under uncultured bacterium. RNAcentral describes it as "partial 16S ribosomal RNA". It matches the Rfam family "Bacterial small subunit ribosomal RNA", at positions 28 to 507 of the family's 1533-position model. The record is from RNAcentral.